UUCCUUGGAACAGGACGUCACAGAGGGUGAGAAUCCCGUGCGAUGAGAUGCCCAAUUCUAUGUAAAGUGCUUUCGAAGAGUCGAGUUGUUUGGGAAUGCAGCUCUAAGUGGGUGGUAAAUUCCAUCUAAAGCUAAAUAUUGGCGAGAGACCGAUAGCGAACAAGUACAGUGAUGGAAAGAUGAAAAGAACUUUGAAAAGAGAGUGAAAAAGUACGUGAAAUUGUUGAAAGGGAAGGGCUUGAGAUCAGACUUGGUAUUUUGCGAUCCUUUCCUUCUUGGUUGGGUUCCUCGCAGCUUACUGGGCCAGCAUCGGUUUGGAUGGUAGGAUAAUGACUAAGGAAUGUGGCUCUACUUCGGUGGAGUGUUAUAGCCUUGGUUGAUACUGCCUGUCUAGACCGAGGACUGCGUCUUUUGACUAGGAUGUUGGCAUAAUGAUCUUAAGCCACCCGUCUUGAAACACGGACCAAGGAGUCUAACGUCUAUGCGAGUGUUUGGGUGUAAAACCCGUACGCGUAAUGAAAGUGAACGUAGGUGAGAGCUCUUAAGAGUGCAUCAUCGACCGAUCCUGAUGUCUUCGGAUGGAUUUGAGUAAGAGCAUAGCUGUUGGGACCCGAAAGAUGGUGAACUAUGCCUGAAUAGGGUGAAGCCAGAGGAAACUCUGGUGGAGGCUCGUAGCGGUUCUGACGUGCAAAUCGAUCGUCGAAUUUGGGUAUAGGGGCG
Molecule: ribosomal RNA, 720 nt
Filed under: Debaryomyces hansenii
Lineage: Eukaryota; Fungi; Ascomycota; Pichiomycetes; Serinales; Debaryomycetaceae
Description: eukaryotic LSU rRNA
Rfam family: Eukaryotic large subunit ribosomal RNA
Source: RNAcentral